GAAAGAGGCUAGAAGCAAUAAGGACUGCUAAUCCCUAUCACCAUGGUUAAAUUCCAUGGCUCAUUCAUAAC
RNAcentral lists this transfer RNA (71 nucleotides) under Tachysurus vachellii. RNAcentral's name for it is "tRNA-Ser". RNAcentral also lists the same sequence under 1 other name. Lineage: Eukaryota; Metazoa; Chordata; Actinopteri; Siluriformes; Bagridae. The record is from RNAcentral.